Molecule: long non-coding RNA, 972 nt
Organism: Heterocephalus glaber (naked mole-rat)
Lineage: Eukaryota; Metazoa; Chordata; Mammalia; Rodentia; Bathyergidae
Source: RefSeq, a predicted model, not a curated record
GCAGGGAAGGAUGCAAGGUAACUGUCUCCCUGGCUGUGCCGUCCUUCCAGGGUCUCUAAUCUAUGGAGGAGAAAGGGAGCAGGAAAAAGACGAAGGGCCAUCUUCAGGCUCGGCCUGAGCCACAGGCCUAGGACUCUGGAAAAAGGACCUUUGCUUGGAAUGUCCCAGCGCCCUAAGAACAGCAGCAGCACCGGAUGUAGUCUCUGCUUCCGGUUGUCAUCAGCCAAUGAGAGAAGGUUAAAGAGAACACUAGCGUUUUCCCACAGGAGAAUGCGAGUCGUUGGAGUUGCUGUUGAUGGUGAGAACGGGCAGGGAGACCUCUCUGAACUUACAUACGUUGGAAGCAGUUCCAGAAUACCUAAGCCAAGGAUGAAAAGGAGAAGAAAAGGAACAGGAAGAUGAAACAGAGGAACCAGAACAAGAAGAAUUUGAAAUAGCUAGGCAUGGUGGAUUAUACUUAUUUUAAAAGAACUGGUUUUUUUCACAAGAUGCUGUCUGGGCAUAAGAAAAAGGAAGAUGAGCCUAAAACUAUUUUCUCCCUGCAGACAGCAAAGAUACUUUCAGAGGCACCUGGUGUUAAAGCACCGAGAGAUGUCCUGAAGAGAGGGCUCCUAGUGACAACUUGGGGUGCAGGAAAGGAAGCCACAUGCACCAUCAGUUAGUAUGUGUCUUCAUUACCACAGUGUCCCUUGAGAUUUUCAAUUCCUACAGUUCUUUUAUUUUUUUCUUUUUUGGUCUUCAGCCCAGACAUUCUGGAAUUUUUUCCAACACAUGGAGGUCCAGAUGAGCCUCUCUCAGGAAUAAAAUCACAAAUCGAACAUGGGCAGCCAAUAUGAUAAGUGGAAUCAACAGAAACUUAAAGAUAUGAAUAUCAGUAAGCAAUUUCUUGGUUUCCUUUAAAAAGUACUUUUUAGCCGAGCAUGGUGGCGCAUGCCUGUGAUGCCAGCACUUGGGAGAUGGAAGAAGGAGGAU